This 961-nucleotide long non-coding RNA is filed under the name Cairina moschata (Muscovy duck). RNAcentral describes it as "domestica (muscovy Duck (domestic type)) lncRNA (ENSCMMG00000013025.1)". Lineage: Eukaryota; Metazoa; Chordata; Aves; Anseriformes; Anatidae. The record is from RNAcentral.
UAUGCAUGGCAUUCAUCUAGAUAGUUAAAAAAAUCUGAAACCUUCUGCCAGAAAAAUGAAUAUUUUAGCUUGCAUUCAACUAAUAUGCCAACUUAUGGUUACUUACGUUUUACUCCUGUUUGUUACAGGUGAAAUGGGUGAAUAUCAGACAGCUCAUUAUAGAGACAAGAAUGCUGCAUUCCCAAAGUAGGAUGACAGAACAAGUCAUGCUCUUACCUGCUAAUUCCCAGAAUUACUCCCAGAACUCUCAGUCCCAUCUUUUUGUGAAUUGUCUGUGGGAACUACAUUCAAUUUUGCAUCUCUUUAAGUUCUUCCCAGAUACAACCUGUUUCCUUCCAUUGCUGAUUUUUAGGUCAAUUUGUUUCUGUACAGUGCUACUUAGCAGUGCUGUUAGCAGGACAUUUCAUGCUUUAUGUGGAGAAAAGACUGGUUGUGUCAUAGCUGUGAUAAUUACUAACAAGAUGAAAGUUGUCUGCAUACAGUAACACUGUUGGCGUGUGAAUACUUUCUACUGCAUUUAUUGGCUAGGAAUGAGACAGAAGUCCAGCAGAGCUUAGGAGCUGAAGUUCCCAAGUUUGAUCCAAAUUCAAUGAUGGCUGUGAGGAAACACCAGGAUUUUGUCACACCUUCUUAGGUCAAUGACAUUGGUUUGCUCACAUUCAGGAUAGAGUUUCUAACAACUGUGUUUUCAGGUUCUUUGUCUUCAGUGUAAGGUAUUUUUCUUUUUUUUGGACUUUAUUGAGAAAUUGUGAAAAUAUUGAAACUGUUGAGACACAACUGAGCUAAAGGGAAGAGGCCUAUUGAUACCAGUAUGACCAGGAUUUCACCAAAGGUCUUUUCUGAAACAAAAUACAAAUUUGUGAUGAAGACUUUUGUGUUCAUCAAAUGUAGAUUAACAACUUUCUACAAUGAAAACUGUUCCCAUGAAGUAACUGAGAUGAUGAAAGUACAAGAAGAAAAU